RNAcentral lists this ribosomal RNA (253 nucleotides) under uncultured bacterium. Its description in RNAcentral is "partial 16S ribosomal RNA". It matches the Rfam family "Bacterial small subunit ribosomal RNA", at positions 524 to 776 of the family's 1533-position model. The record is from RNAcentral.
AACGUAGGUGGCGAGCGUUAUCCGGAUUUACUGGGCGUAAAGCGUGUGCAGGCGGCCUCACAAGUGGUGUAUGAAAUACCCAGGCUCAACCUGGAGGGGUUAUGCCAGACUGUGAGGCUAGAGUGCGAGAGAGGGGCGUGGAAUUCCGGGUGUAGUGGUGAAAUGCGUAGAGAUCCGGAGGAACCCCAGAGGCGAAGGCGGCGCCCUGGCUCGCAACUGACGCUCAGACACGACAGCAUGGGGAGCGAACGGG